UACGGAGGGAGCUAGCGUUGUUCGGAAUUACUGGGCGUAAAGCGCACGUAGGCGGCUUUGUAAGUUAGAGGUGAAAGCCCAGGGCUUAACCCUGGAAUUGCCUUUAAGACUGCAUCGCUAGAAUUGUGGAGAGGUAAGUGGAAUUCCGAGUGUAGAGGUGAAAUUCGUAGAUAUUCGGAAGAACACCAGUGGCGAAGGCGACUUACUGGACACAUAUUGACGCUGAGGAGCGAAAGCGUGGGGGAGCAAACAGG
Molecule: ribosomal RNA, 254 nt
Filed under: uncultured bacterium
Lineage: Bacteria
Description: partial 16S ribosomal RNA
Rfam family: Bacterial small subunit ribosomal RNA
Source: RNAcentral